CGGGGGGGGCAAGCGUUGUUCGGAAUUACUGGGCGUAAGGGGUUCGUAGGUGGCCAACUAAGUCAGACGUGAAAUCCCUCAGCUCAACUGGGGAACUGCGUCUGAUACUGAUUGGCUUGAGUGCAGGAGAGGAACGCGGAAUUCCAGGUGUAGCGGUGAAAUGCGUAGAUAUCUGGAGGAACACCGGUGGCGAAGGCGGCGUUCUGGACUGCAACUGACACUGAGGAACGAAAGCCAGGGGAGCAAACGGGAUUAGAUACCCCGGUAGUCCUGGCCCUAAACGAUGAAUGCUUGGUGUGGCGGGUAUCGAUCCCUGCCGUGCCGAAGUUAACGCGAUAAGCAUUCCGCCUGGGGAGUACGGUCGCAAGGCUG
Molecule: ribosomal RNA, 372 nt
Filed under: uncultured organism
Description: bacterial SSU rRNA
Rfam family: Bacterial small subunit ribosomal RNA
Source: RNAcentral